Molecule: ribosomal RNA, 234 nt
Filed under: uncultured bacterium
Lineage: Bacteria
Description: partial 16S ribosomal RNA
Rfam family: Bacterial small subunit ribosomal RNA
Source: RNAcentral
GGCGAACGGGCGAGUAACGCGUAUUUAACCUGCCCUUAAGUAGUUUAUAACCAUGGAGACAUGGCUAAUCAACUAUACGCCCUCAUGAAUGUAAAUAGUGAGGGGAAAGAUUUAUCGCUUAAGGAGGGGGAUGCGUCCUAUCAGUUAGUUGGUGAGGUAAUGGCUCACCAAGACUAUGACGGGUAGCCGGUCUGAGAGGAUGUCCGGCCGCAAUGGAACUGAGACACGGUCCAU